CCUACGGGGGGCAGCAGUGGGGGAUAUUGCACAAUGGGGGAAACCCUGAUGCAGCGACGCCGCGUGUGGGAAGACGGUCCUCUGGAUUGUAAACCACUGUCCCCAGGGACGAAGAUGACGGAACCGGGGGAGGAAGCGCGGGCUAACUACGUGCCAGCAGCCGCGGUACUACGUAGGGAGCGAGCGGUGUCCGGAAUUACGGGGGGUAAAGGGAGCGUAGGCGGGGAUGCAAGGUGGGUGUCCAAACUACCGGCUCAACUGGUAGUCGCACUCCAAACUGCAGCUCUUGAGUGAAGUAGAGGCCGGCUGAAUUCCUAGUGUAGCGGUGAAAUGCGUAGCUAUUAGGAG
Molecule: ribosomal RNA, 348 nt
Filed under: uncultured bacterium
Lineage: Bacteria
Description: partial 16S ribosomal RNA
Rfam family: Bacterial small subunit ribosomal RNA
Source: RNAcentral